This 543-nucleotide ribosomal RNA is filed under the name Bifidobacterium dentium. Its description in RNAcentral is "bacterial SSU rRNA". It matches the Rfam family "Bacterial small subunit ribosomal RNA", at positions 146 to 698 of the family's 1533-position model. Lineage: Bacteria; Bacillati; Actinomycetota; Actinomycetes; Bifidobacteriales; Bifidobacteriaceae. The record is from RNAcentral.
UCUCCUGGAAAACGGGUGGUAAUGCCGGAUGCUCCGGUUGGAUGCAUGUCCUUCCGGGAAAGAUUCCAUCGGUAUGGGAUGGGGUCGCGUCCUAUCAGCUUGAUGGCGGGGUAACGGCCCACCAUGGCUUCGACGGGUAGCCGGCCUGAGAGGGCGACCGGCCACAUUGGGACUGAGAUACGGCCCAGACUCCUACGGGAGGCAGCAGUGGGGAAUAUUGCACAAUGGGCGCAAGCCUGAUGCAGCGACGCCGCGUGCGGGAUGGAGGCCUUCGGGUUGUAAACCGCUUUUGAUCGGGAGCAAGCCCUUCGGGGUGAGUGUACCCUUCGAAUAAGCACCGGCUAACUACGUGCCAGCAGCCGCGGUAAUACGUAGGGUGCAAGCGUUAUCCGGAAUUAUUGGGCGUAAAGGGCUCGUAGGCGGUUCGUCGCGUCCGGUGUGAAAGCCCAUCGCUUAACGGUGGGUCUGCGCCGGGUACGGGCGGGCUGGAGUGCGGUAGGGGAGACUGGAAUUCCCGGUGUAACGGUGGAAUGUGUAGAUAUC